Molecule: transfer RNA, 75 nt
Filed under: Ruminococcaceae bacterium OttesenSCG-928-A11
Lineage: Bacteria; Bacillati; Bacillota; Clostridia; Eubacteriales; Oscillospiraceae
Also listed under: 1 other name
Description: tRNA-Arg
Rfam family: tRNA
About the family: Transfer RNA (tRNA) molecules are approximately 80 nucleotides in length. Their secondary structure includes four short double-helical elements and three loops (D, anti-codon, and T loops).
Source: RNAcentral
GCCCCCGUAGUUAAAUGGAUAUAACAAGCCCCUCCUAAGGGUUAAUUAUAGGUUCGAUUCCUAUCGGGGGUGCCA